This 300-nucleotide ribosomal RNA is filed under the name uncultured bacterium. Its description in RNAcentral is "bacterial SSU rRNA". It matches the Rfam family "Bacterial small subunit ribosomal RNA", at positions 1081 to 1382 of the family's 1533-position model. The record is from RNAcentral.
UAAGUCCCGCAACGAGCGCAACCCUCAUUUUUAGUUGCCAUCAAGUAAUGCUGGGCACUCUAGAAAAACUGCCGGUGAUAAGCUGGAGGAAGCGGGGAUGACGUCAAGUCCUCAUGGCCCUUACGGUCUGGGCUACACACGUGCUACAAUGGUGGUGACAGAGGGCAGCAAUAUCGCAAGAUAAAGCCAAUCCCAAAAAACCAUCUCAGUUCGGAUUGGACUCUGCAACUCGAGUCCAUGAAGUUGGAAUCGCUAGUAAUCGUAGAUCAGCGUGCUACGGUGAAUACGUUCUCGGGCCUU